This 498-nucleotide ribosomal RNA is filed under the name uncultured bacterium. RNAcentral describes it as "partial 16S ribosomal RNA". It matches the Rfam family "Bacterial small subunit ribosomal RNA", at positions 30 to 523 of the family's 1533-position model. The record is from RNAcentral.
AUUGAACGCUGGCGGCAUGCCUUACACAUGCAAGUCGAACGGUAACAGGUCUUCGAAUGCUGACGAGUGGCGAACGGGUGAGUAAUACAUCGGAACGUGCCUAGUAGUGGGGGAUAACUACUCGAAAGAGUGGCUAAUACCGCAUAAGAUCUACGGAUGGAAGCAGGGGAUCGCAAGACCUUGUGCUACUAGAGCGGCCGAUGGCAGAUUAGGUAGUUGGUGGGAUAAAAGCUUACCAAGCCGACGAUCUGUAGCUGGUCUGAGAGGACGAUCAGCCACACUGGGACUGAGACACGGCCCAGACUCCUACGGGAGGCAGCAGUGGGGAAUUUUGGACAAUGGGCGCAAGCCUGAUCCAGCAAUGCCGCGUGCAGGAUGAAGGCCUUCGGGUUGUAAACUGCUUUUGUACGGAACGAAAAGCCCCGGGUUAAUACCCUGGGGUCAUGACGGUACCGUAAGAAUAAGCACCGGCUAACUACGUGCCAGCCGCCGCCGUAA